Molecule: transfer RNA, 64 nt
Filed under: Paracaecilius japanus
Lineage: Eukaryota; Metazoa; Arthropoda; Insecta; Psocodea; Caeciliusidae
Description: tRNA-Trp
Source: RNAcentral
AAGAUUUUAAGUUAAAUAAAACUCUUAGCCUUCAAAGCUAAAAAUAAAUCAAAUUUAAAUCUUA